This 149-nucleotide non-coding RNA is filed under the name Streptomyces albus subsp. albus DSM 41398. Its description in RNAcentral is "Streptomyces sRNA scr5239". It matches the Rfam family "Streptomyces sRNA scr5239". Rfam says of the family: It inhibits agarase DagA expression by direct base pairing to the dagA coding region, and it represses translation of methionine synthase metE (SCO0985) at the 5' end of its open reading frame. The record is from Rfam by way of RNAcentral. Lineage: Bacteria; Bacillati; Actinomycetota; Actinomycetes; Kitasatosporales; Streptomycetaceae.
UCUCCGUCCUUCCCGCACAGAAGGACGGAUGGGGAACCGGUCUCUCUGCCCUGACUGCCCGGCUCCUCAUUCGGCCCGGACCGCACAUCCGCGCGCCGAUGCAACUCCGGGCUGCGGUGCCGGGAGGGCUGAGGGUCCCUCUCAGGCGC